RNAcentral lists this unclassified non-coding RNA (209 nucleotides) under plant metagenome. RNAcentral describes it as "partial contains small subunit ribosomal RNA, internal transcribed spacer 1, and 5.8S ribosomal RNA". The record is from RNAcentral.
UCUCCGUUGGUGAACCAGCGGAGGGAUCAUUACUGGAAUCGCAAGAUCCCACAACCCUGUGAACCUACCGAAACGUUGCCUCGGCGGGCGCCCGGCCUCUGCGCCGGGCUCUGCGCCCGCCGGCGGCCCCCUACUCUGUCUCUGCAGCGUGGCAUCUCAGAGUCCCAGAAAACAAGUCAAAACUUUCAACAACGGAUCUCUUGGCUCUA